Molecule: ribosomal RNA, 843 nt
Filed under: Bacillus velezensis
Lineage: Bacteria; Bacillati; Bacillota; Bacilli; Caryophanales; Bacillaceae
Description: bacterial SSU rRNA
Rfam family: Bacterial small subunit ribosomal RNA
Source: RNAcentral
CAGUCGAGCGGACAGAUGGGAGCUUGCUCCCUGAUGUUAGCGGCGGACGGGUGAGUAACACGUGGGUAACCUGCCUGUAAGACUGGGAUAACUCCGGGAAACCGGGGCUAAUACCGGAUGGUUGUUUGAACCGCAUGGUUCAGACAUAAAAGGUGGCUUCGGCUACCACUUACAGAUGGACCCGCGGCGCAUUAGCUAGUUGGUGAGGUAACGGCUCACCAAGGCGACGAUGCGUAGCCGACCUGAGAGGGUGAUCGGCCACACUGGGACUGAGACACGGCCCAGACUCCUACGGGAGGCAGCAGUAGGGAAUCUUCCGCAAUGGACGAAAGUCUGACGGAGCAACGCCGCGUGAGUGAUGAAGGUUUUCGGAUCGUAAAGCUCUGUUGUUAGGGAAGAACAAGUGCCGUUCAAAUAGGGCGGCACCUUGACGGUACCUAACCAGAAAGCCACGGCUAACUACGUGCCAGCAGCCGCGGUAAUACGUAGGUGGCAAGCGUUGUCCGGAAUUAUUGGGCGUAAAGGGCUCGCAGGCGGUUUCUUAAGUCUGAUGUGAAAGCCCCCGGCUCAACCGGGGAGGGUCAUUGGAAACUGGGGAACUUGAGUGCAGAAGAGGAGAGUGGAAUUCCACGUGUAGCGGUGAAAUGCGUAGAGAUGUGGAGGAACACCAGUGGCGAAGGCGACUCUCUGGUCUGUAACUGACGCUGAGGAGCGAAAGCGUGGGGAGCGAACAGGAUUAGAUACCCUGGUAGUCCACGCCGUAAACGAUGAGUGCUAAGUGUUAGGGGGUUUCCGCCCCUUAGUGCUGCAGCUAACGCAUUAAGCACUCCGCCUGGGGGAGUA